Herpailurus yagouaroundi (jaguarundi) is the source of this 2844-nucleotide long non-coding RNA. RefSeq lists it as uncharacterized. NCBI's taxonomy places the organism in Eukaryota, Metazoa, Chordata, Mammalia, Carnivora, Felidae. The record is from RefSeq and is a predicted model, not a curated record. The transcript is spliced from 2 exons.
AGAUGAUAAUAGUACCUGCUUUGGGGGAGGGGGGUUGUUGGGAGGAGGGCCUGACUACGCAACAAAUACGAGCUGUGCUUGAACUUGAACUUGGAGCCAGGCAGGCAGGCAUGCGGGCAGUCUGGUGCCACAAGGGCAACUCUUUCCUGGACGUUUGGAAUCAGAAGUAGAUGAUGAGGCCGGCUGGUGCUAGGAGGGGACGGCGGUGGGCGGGGAGCCCUCCUCACACAGACGGUGAGAGACGGGCAGGCGAGUGAGCUAUGUGUCCCGAGGGCACGGGGCAUGUGGCUGCCCUCUGCAGGGAUCGAGGCCAGCACCGGGCCGGGUGGGAUCGGGGUCUGAGGGGGGGGCCUGGAUGUGUCGGAAUUACUUGGACCCUCGUGUCGCAUCCAGAUUCCCCGGCCCUAGCAAAUCGGAGUCUCCAGGACAAGGGACGGGUGUGGGAGGCGGAGGCGCCCAAGGCAGGCUGAUGAGCAGCAGUUGGAGAAAGUCUGCACGGCCGGAAACAUCUCGAGACCUGAAGCCAUGGCCUCAGAGUCCUGGGACUUUCAGUCUGGGCAGCUGGUUAUCAUGCCGUGGACUUGAAUCUGAAGAAACGUUUGUGCUGUGCAAGAGUCCUAUGUUUCUCUGAUUUUGAGCAAAUGAAAGCCAGCCCAGCGCUGGGAGUCGGUGCCUUCCCCAAAGAGGGGGCUGGCCCCAGUGCGUGGGGGAGGGGGUGACGGCCCAGGGCCUGCAAGCUGUCCCCUGGAGGCAUGGGGUGGGGCUGGCCAUUUCCCAGCUGCGGGCUCUCUCCCUGUGAAAUGGGGAGAGCCAGCAUGACUGGGGGGGGGGGGGGGCAGAUGAGAGGCUGUUCCCCACGGUGCCUGUGUGGGUCCACGCAGACCGGACAGGAGGCUCAGGACUCCCUUCCUCUGGGUCAGGAGUGUCUUGUGUCCCAUGGCCCUCUGGGUCCUCCUGAAGUUUGGCCCCAGUGGGGGUCCUGUAGGUUCCGAGACCAGGAAGGAUGUCAUAGCAAGCAGCGCCCCCUUGGGCUCCAGCUCAGCCAGCGGCUUGGUAUAACUUGCCGACGGUGAAAUGCACAGAUUCCAAGCGUACAUUCUGAUUUCGAUUUGGCAGUUGUAUAUAUCUGCCCAACCACCACCCCCGGUCCGGAUCCGGAAGGUUUCCAGCACCCGGGAGAUUCCCUGGUGCCCUUUGCAGCGCCCCCCACCCCCCCACAUGCCGCAGGGGCAGCUCUGUCCUGACUUCUAUCACCACGGAUUAGUUUUGCCUGUUUGGGAACGUCCUAGAAAUGGAACCACACACCAUGUGGUCUUUUGUGUCUGAGCCUGAAGACUAACUUCUACAUCGAAUAAAAGAGAAGAGGGGACCAUGCCGUAUUCUUGGAAAGAGAAAACGGUCAUCCUGGGCUGGGGGAUGAGACCAAAUGGCACCUCCUGGGUGUGGUUAGCUCCGCGGAUGCCCUGGGUCCACCGACGGAGGGCUGGAUUGCCGUCACUCCCAGCACUGGCCCUGGCCCCCUCCCUCCUGUCUGAUGUCUCCCUUGCUAGUGCAGCCUGAGUCCGGCUCCGGCCUGGCCCCAGAUCAGCCCCUGGGGCCGGCCCCCCCCCCCACCCUCACCCCAGCCUGUCCAGUGUCCCCUUGCUGGUACCACCUGAGUCCAGCUUCAGCCCGGCCCCAGAGCUCAGUCUGUUGAGUCAGGUUCUGGGUUUGCACGUCCGAGCCCUGGUGGAACCCCCAGGCUGCCAGAGAAAGGCCUUCCCUGUCCCCGCCCCACCCGCCGGGCACCCCUCGGGCCCCCUCUGGCUUUGGUGAUGGCUGCACGCCCUCCGUCUUGCUUCUAAUGACCGUGUCCUAGUGCCUCAACCUUCCCCAACCGCAAGUGCCCCACAGGCAGUGACCUGAUGGCCUGCAUGUGCCGGGCUGACGCCGGGGCCUCUGGCUUAUCAGCAGACAGAGGCCAGGAGGCUCUUUCUCACCCUUUGCCUCCUGUUCCAACUGAAAUGGACAGUUCGGUCCCUUCCAGCCCACCGUCUGAGCACCUGCCUAUCUGCCUUUGCCGGUGCUAUGCCUGUUGUCUCGAGCACCUGUUAUCUGGGGCUCCUCACCUGACAGUCCCUCGGGUCUCCAUUCAGACAGCCCCAGCCCCCCUGGGAGAAGUGCUGCGAUGUGCUCCCACACCCACUUCGAGGGAGGGAAGCUGGGAGGGAUCCUGGCUUCCCAGGGGACCGCCAUCAGCCCCUGGACGAACGCUGGGAUCGAUUAGGUAUCUUCAGGAGCAUCUACCGUGGCAAGAGCUGAGGUGUUUGGGUCCUGCUAGAGCUGGGCACUGAGGACUGCACCAAGAAGGGCGCCCCCUCUGUCCCCUCUGGGGGGACAUGGUGUGGCGGGGACUGGGGCGUCUGAGUCCGGCCUUGAGCCUGCACGAUGUGGCUGUGACCUGACGGAAUGCGGGCUCUCCAUGUCUCGUUGACCUGGGAGUAUCAAAUGGGGUCGUGUCUCCUGCAGGGCCUUACAAACUGUAAGGUGCGGUGCACGAACCACGCGAACGGCUGGAGCCCAACCACCUUUGAGCGAAAGCAGCAGCACUUUCUCAUGGGUCACCCCACCCCGUGCAUCCUGCCUGUGCCGCCAGGGCAGGGCGGGACAUAGCAGUAAUAGUGUGCCUUGGGGGGUGCCAGGCACCCACACUUCUGAGCGAUCUACUCUUCUGUGCCCUACGGGAGCCGGGUGAGGGAGGGGCUGUGGGCGGCCUGAUUCAGAAGUUUGGGUGGUCACGCUUGGGAUCCUGUCUCUCUCUCUUUCUCUCUCUCUCUCUCUCUCUCUCUCUCUCUCUCUCAAAAG